Molecule: long non-coding RNA, 293 nt
Filed under: Trifolium pratense (red clover)
Lineage: Eukaryota; Viridiplantae; Streptophyta; Magnoliopsida; Fabales; Fabaceae
Description: long non-coding RNA (TPRA_LNC009347)
Source: RNAcentral
UAUGAGGACUUGCCAAUUUUGGUCUUUUAUUGAUUUUGAUGGUUCACAUUUUCAUUUUUGUAUUUUAAAUUUGAUUAAAGACAAAAUCUACCUACAAUAUAAUAUUUAUUGUUGGUGCUGUUUCCACCACAAAAUAUGAUUUGUGGACAUCAAAAGUUUGGAGGCACUUAUACGAAUAGUUAUGUACGUUUUCACCUAAAUAUCUAUAUGAGUGGGAAUAAAUCACAUUAGCGGAUCAACGGUUUGAAUUAACUUAUUUUUGAGUUUAUAUAAAAUAAUUUAUGCAAAAAAAC